Long non-coding RNA from Homo sapiens (human), 1650 nucleotides. The record is from Ensembl. Lineage: Eukaryota; Metazoa; Chordata; Mammalia; Primates; Hominidae.
GCAUUGGGUGGGAGAGAAAGUUCUAUGUCAACUCUUCUGGCAGAGGGAAAAGCUGACCGAGGAAGUCAAAAUGAAAGAAAGAAGCAGACAGGACUGAGGCUCCCUGAGAUGCAGAAACUGAGGCACAGAGCAAGGAUGUGCCACAGCAGAAGCAAGUUGUGUUGGCAGUAGGAAACAAGAUAAAGAGAAGAACUCAAAGAAUUGAGAGAAGGCUUUGAACAUGAUGAUGGAGAAAUAACACUCUUGGGAGAAAUGAAGAUACUUUCUCCUCCCUGGUUUACCUGAGUUUCCAGCACCCAGUGAUAAGAAAGGAUGGCAUUAGUGAUGUGUACACCUGCAGUGAUAGCUUCACCUUUCUAAAGCAGAUGCCGUGGUAGACAUUUUGCCAGCCCUCCUUUCACUAUACACACAGCUUGGUGUACGCUGGCAGACUUUUGACCUAAUUUCUUAACCCUCAAAUAUUCCAAGACAGAACAAAGCACACAACAAAACCAGAAUGAGGCCGGGCAAAGUGGCUCAUGCCCGUAAUCCCAGCACUUUGGGAGGCUAAGGGGUGGGCAGAUCACUUGAGGUCAGGAGUUUGAGACCAGCCUAGGCAACAUGGUGAAACCCAGUCUCUACUGAAAAUACAAAAAUCAGCCGGGUGUGGUGGCAAAUGCCUGUAAUCCCAGCUACUGGGGAGGCUGAGACACAAGAAUCACUUGAACCCAGGAGGGGGAGUUUGCAGUGAGCCGAGAUUGUGCCACUGCAUGCCAGUCUGAACAACAGAGCAAGACUCUGUCACAAAAACAAACAAAAAACUGAAUGAAUGGAAGCAGAUAAGUGCAGAGAGAAACACUGAUUUACCUUCAGAAAGAUAAAAAAGUAGUAUAUUGAUAUACUUGUAUAUUGCUAUCUACUAGUAUAGCUUCAGUUGGUGUAUGAGUAUAGAACUAUUGGGUUGUUCUUUAUGUGAUUACUCCUUCCCAGUUUUAGUAAAGUAUUCCAAUUUGAGGGAAAUUCUUUCAUUUGUCAAUAAAAUAAAAAGAGGUAAGUUUUAAAAUCUGUAUAGUUCUUCCUUCAUGCUAGUUGCCUCUCUUUUUGAUAUUUCUUCUAUAAAAAUCUUUUCUUACAUUCAGUUUUCAUUGUAUAGAUCAUGAAGGAACCAUAGUGAUUAUCAAAGAUCAGCCGAUAAGUUCAAGGCAGAGUUCCACCUUUCCCCAUGAAGCCCUUCCAGACUUGUUUACAUGUAACACCCUUGAAGUCUAUUAUAGUGGAAAUAUCUCUGCGAUAAGAAGACAUGGAUUCUAGCUCCAUCUCCAGAACUUAGGAGCCAGGAUUCACUUAAAGGAGACACGGGCUGUGCUGGCUUCUCAGAUUUGCAAAAGAUCAAUGUCUCCAAGUACCCAAAACUUACCUGGGGUUUUCAAGAUUAUGCAGCUAGGAAGGAUGUGUUUGCUUCCCUUUCUGCCAUGAUUGUAAGUUUCCUGAGGCCUCGCCAGCCAUGCUGAACUAGAGGCAUCAUCUUUGAUCAUCAUCAGAUUUUACAACUCAUUGUUCCCUUCCAGUCCACAGGGUGAGAGAAUCAUGUAAAUGGUCAAACAAACACUUGGAUUAUAGAAGACACUUGAUAUUAAUAAUGACAAUAAAAAUGUUUACCUAACUUGGAUA